RNAcentral lists this ribosomal RNA (433 nucleotides) under uncultured bacterium. Its description in RNAcentral is "partial 16S ribosomal RNA". It matches the Rfam family "Bacterial small subunit ribosomal RNA", at positions 29 to 507 of the family's 1533-position model. The record is from RNAcentral.
AACGAACGCUGGCGGCAUGCCUAACACAUGCAAGUCGAACGAGACCUUCGGGUCUAGUGGCGCACGGGUGCGUAACGCGUGGGAACCUGCCCUUAGGUUCGGAAUAACUCCCCGAAAGGGGUGCUAAUACCGGAUAAUGUCUUCGGACCAAAGAUUUAUCGCCUUUGGAUGGGCCCGCGUUGGAUUAGCUAGUUGGUAGGGUAAAAGCCUACCAAGGCGACGAUCCAUAGCUGGUCUGAGAGGAAGAUCAGUCACACUGGGACUGAGACACGGCCCAGACUCCUACGGGAGGCAGCAGUGGGGAAUAUUGGACAAUGGGCGAAAGCCUGAUCCAGCAAUGCCGCGUGAGUGAUGAAGGCCUUAGGGUUGUAAAGCUCUUUUACCCGGGAUGAUAAUGACAGUACCGGGAGAAUAAGCGCCGGCUAACUCCGUG